This is a non-coding RNA of Aspergillus wentii DTO 134E9, 99 nucleotides long. The record is from the annotation of a RefSeq genome assembly. NCBI's taxonomy places the organism in Eukaryota, Fungi, Ascomycota, Eurotiomycetes, Eurotiales, Aspergillaceae.
ACACCAGUGGUCUAGGGGUUAUGACUUUGCUCUUAUAGUUUACUCCUUCCACAAAGGAUGAGCUAUGCAAGAACCCCGGUUCGAUUCCGGGCUGGUGUA